AUAAAAAAGACAAAAGGUCCUUGUCUUAGUAGAGCUUGCAUUCCAGCAGGAGGAGACAGAUAAUAAACAUAAAUGGAAAGUGAUAGAUGUUACAGAAAAAAGAAAAACAAUGUCAUAGUAUUAAAUGAGGGAGUCCAAGUAGGUCUCAUGGAAAAGAUAACAUUUAGUCAAAGACUUGAAGGAAGUGACAGAAUAAUCCAGAUUGUCUAGGGGAGAGCAUUCCAGGCAGAGGGUAAACCUGCUGCAAAGGCUCUGGACGGAGAACGCUUGGCAUGCUUGGGGAACAGCAAGGAGUGGCUGAAGUGGAGUGAGCAAGGAGAAGAGAAAAUGAAGUCAGAGAGGGGGUGGAGGAUAGUGAGGAAAAUAGAAAGCUCAUCAGAGAUCACAUCAGAGAUCACAAGAUUUAAAGGAAGGAUAAGAAGAGAAUGGUGGAAGAAUGCUCGGCUGAGGUGAAGAUAAGGGUAUUGGGCAAAUUCUUCCGGUUGGCUUCAAUAGUCUCCCAAACAGGUGACUUUCCUGCUACAGGGAAAGUGAAGGACUGAUACGAUGGAAGAUCAUUUUUGGAGCAGGUGCUGGGCUAGGCAGCAAAGAGGUGAGUAGAAUGAGGGGAAGGUUCUGUAAGUGUUUAGUAUCAUGAAUUUUCAACAGGCCAGAUUUUGCAGCAAGUUUUCUUCUAUAAGUUCAUAGUUGGAAGGAGAGAGAAAGCAUAAAGACCUAGCAUUGUUGGCUGGUGUGGGGAACGUCACGUAAUCACUAAUAAACAUUUAACACGGGGAGGUGGUCAUUGCAGAAUGAUGCCACAGACAGCACUGAGAUGCCAGGCAGAUGGCUCAGGUAAGGAGAGAACCUAAUACAACCUGUCAGGCCAAAGUUCUCAACUUGGCUGCCAGGAAAAUCACCUGGAUGAUUUUAAAGAGUACUGAAACCUGGGCCCCACCCGCAGUGAUUGUGAUUUCGUUGGUCUGGGAUGAGACCUGGAGCAUUAGCAUUUUUUUAAGUGCUCCAGUUCGAGAACCCCUGCAGUAAAGAGAUACAGGUCUGGGGAAAGCAGAAGGGGUUAAGUGGUUGAAGGUUCUACUGAGGAUAGAGUACAGGAUGAAAUAAAAAUGCUAUUUAUGGUCUCAGGCCUGACAAUUCCCAGGAAAAAGAAGAGUCUGACUUGACAUAAAAGAAAGUAUCUGUGUUUUAAGAUCCAAAUGUGAUCUCACCUAGUUUCCACUGGACAGACGUCACCAUUCCCUGACAGUCAUAAUUGGCACUGUGGUAGGCAGAUGGUUGACCGGGAAAGGAAAAGCUACAAGGCUUUCUUCUAGUCUUUAUUUUGAAAAGAAAGAUUCCCAUCCAAGCUGGGGCUUGGAGGGUCCUUUCUGAGACCCAGCGAGACUGAGCACAAGUGCAGAAGGGACGCAGGGUGCUCAGGAAGUCCCAUCAUGGGCCAGGCCCAAGGUCAGCCACCCCAGCAGAUCUCGAGAGACGUCUUGUGGGAGGGCUGGGACCAGCUCUCUGACCUCAGUUGUAAAAGUCAGGCAUGGCCCCGGUUUUCUUAGUAGCCAUUUAUGGCUCUCAUUCAUAAAUUUGGCUAAAGGGUUUUUGAAUUCAUUUACAUUUCCUGCCAGUCCCACCUUUUGGGACUAAUGAGUUCUACAAGUUUAUAACCUGCUGUGUGAAGUAGAUUUCCUUUCGCUAGCCCUAAACUUACUCGGCUCUGUUUUAAAGAGUGCCCUCCUUGUCCUGCGAAGAAAAAGUAAACAAUUAUACCAUGAGGACAGAUUGGCUGAAGUGAGUGGGGCAUAAAAAGAGCUAGGUGUUACAAGGAACUGCAGACUACCUUAAAUCCAUGGUAUGGUUUUAAAAGGCAAACAUGGCUGGAAUGCAUGGCCCAGAGGGGAGCCCAGUGUGCCACACUACAAUGGCUCCAUUGUUCUGAGUGCUGGGACCUUUUGGGGUCUAUGCAUCCUGUUUGGGGCUCCACUGUUCAAAUGAAAGAAAGAGCUUGAAUAUUUAGCAGACAUCAAGAAAACAGAUUAAAAACUGGAAGUGGAACCUGGAAGAAAAAUUUAGAUUUUUCAGAUUAGAGAAAAGAAAGUUAUUACACACAAAAAUAUCAAGGAAAUGUGUAAAAUGAAAAAUAGUUGUUCUACUUUGAAUUAAAGUACAAAGAGGAGUCAAAAUGGUGAUUUAGCUUUGCCGUAAGAAGGAACUUCCCGACACUAUUAUAUAUAAAAUCCAGUAAAGUCAGAAAACUAUGCAUUUUAAUUUUUUAAAAUGCAGUUUAAAAUUUUUUUAAUUAAAAUUAAAAAUUUUAAAAUCAUUCCCCAAAUGAUUUGGGGUUCAUCUUGUCUUUGUACAUGCCUCAAUGGAUUAUAAAGACAGCUAGAGAAGUUAUUUACACAAAGGAAUAUGGUAAUAUUGAACUAGGUGAAGGCAUGAAACAGAUGAGGAUAUAAGUAUCUUACAAAAGAAAGGAAUGUGUGAUCAAAAGUCAAUGUGUGCAAUUUUAAAAACUACAAGAAAACAGCAAAUAUUUUUGAAAGAUAUUAAUUUUAGUGGGCUGAAGAGUAGACUAAAGUAUCUGUUGCAUUUUUUCCUCCAAGGUCAUAGUAUAAAGUUGAUUAUAAAAAAGUCUUGUGUUUUAAUGGAAAAUAGGGCAAAGGUUAUGUGCAACAGGAAUCCAGUCAUGUGGAGCUUACAGAACGCAGGUUAGGCUCAUAAAACUGCUCAUUAAAAUGCUCUGUUCUGAAGCAAAAGCAAAUAAAUGAGCUCAGGGAAAAGAGCCACAGAAAUUGUCUAGAAAUAUUUCCAUGAAAGACUGUGAAAAUAGUCCUUCCAGUCAUAAGAAAUGUGCAGUUAUUGCUUAUACAAAUAGCCCACACUUAAAAGACUUUUAAAUACCUUCCCUGCAAUGCUGGUUUUGACCUUCUGCCAAAAGCUACUUAAUGUUUUUUUAAUUUUUUUUUUUAAUUUUUCUGAAUAGACUAUAUGAUGAGCAAAAAAUAAAAAGGCACACACACCCUAAGUUUUUAAAACAGCAUGAGAAGAACAGUUUUGUAAUCAACCCUCAUCCCAAAUUCUGGUUUAAAUUUAGAAAAUUUAUAAAUUAUACACUGGCUUCCAAUGUCAAUCCCAAAUUAUAGAAUUAAGGACCAAAAAAAAUCUUGAAGAUUUAUAGGGCUCCGAUUCUCUACACUUCACUAUCUUGCAGUACAGAAAACAUAGACUGAGGAAUUUAAAACUAAUAAUAGUAAUGGCUUGCUGGCAAAAUAAUGCACAGCAAGAGGACUUCUAAGAAGACUGUUAGCCUCAAAGCAAUUCAGACAGACCAUGCGUACACAACGGCUGGCUGGUCUGUAAGGCCGCAGGCCAAAAUCAACAUCAACAGCCAGCAGCGCCCAGCACUCAUGGAGGAAACUGCACAACUUGAUGCUGAUUGUGUGUGUGUGUGUGUGUGUGUGUGUGUGUGUUGGGGGGUGUCCAGACACCCAUCUGAUUUUGAAUGUAAAUUCAGUGAUGCCUACGCCAUGUCUGAGCUACCAGAGGGGCAACCUGGUGAAAUCUCACCAUGCCAAGUGAUUAACCGGAAUGAAGCCAGCUAAGAGAAAACAGACUGCUCCAGAAGGAAGCACAAGUAGUGAGUCAUGUGGUCUGAAUCCACACCCGACUACUCCGUCUGUGGCUCUUCCUUGCACCCUUUCCGUAGUUGCUGGAAUUGGGAUGAGGGACCCGGGAAGGAGUCAAUAUGAGCACGGACAUUUUGCCUGCUUUUUAUUUUUUUAAGAAGGGAUUAGCAAUGGCAAUAUUCUCUUUUCACUUCUACAGCGUAUUUUAUCUUAAGGAAAGCAGCCUGGAGCUGGCUUGUGAGAAGCAAUGAAUCAAACUGAGAGAGACUCCUUUGAAAAGCCAGGCUGGAGCGCAAGAGGCCUCCUGCCAGCGUAGACUCUGCUGCUUCAGGCCGGUUUUGUCCCUGUUGUUGCUGUUUCACUCUUUGUGGGGGAGGGAGCAGACAGACAGUCUUGCAGAGAUUUGGCUAAAAUAAAAAUACAGCGCAAUUUUACACGGCUAAACCGAAUCUCACAUCUGACGACAUGGCCUAGACAUUUGAUAGAUACAUCUUGGCAACAAUAGCUCAUCUCUUUAGCGUUAGCUGUAAAAGGAUAUUUCCUAAUUCAUCCAGCUCUAAACAAAAUAACCUGCUCUUCCUUUUCCCACUGGCCUUUAACAUGCCUUAUUCAGGAAUAAUGAUUUCUUUUGCUUAAGCAGAUUUUAAAAACAGCAUUGUUCUUUCCACAGUGGUAGUUUACGAUUUUACUUACACACAAAUACACACGCAUACGCACGCACAUUCUUGCACAAGUUAGCAAGAUUUAAAGCCUCUCAUUUUUUAUUCUUGAAGCCCUGAAAAGGAAACUAUUAUUCAUGUGCCAAAGAACAC
Microcebus murinus (gray mouse lemur) is the source of this 4429-nucleotide non-coding RNA. NCBI's taxonomy places the organism in Eukaryota, Metazoa, Chordata, Mammalia, Primates, Cheirogaleidae. The record is from RefSeq and is a predicted model, not a curated record.